AGACACAGCUCUCCCGGAAUCAGGCACAUCAGUGCUGGACAGCUGCAUAAUGUUGGUCUAGCAAGUCCAGGUCAGCUGAUACCACUGGCAGAGCUGCUCCAACACUGGCACCUGGCUGACUGCAUUCUCUCAGCGGACGCUCAGAGCACAGGAAUCCAGCAUGGCAUGGCAUGUUCGCCGUAGCUGUGAGAGCGAACAAAGGUCAAAGCUGUAGUGGCCAGAAUUCCCGGAUGGCACCAUGAUACUGUCCCUCAGUGCCCACACACGGCCCAGCCAUCUCAUCUCCCCAGGAACUAUCAGUAUGUGCUAGCCAUGAAGGCAUCUUACACUAUGCACAUCUUGUAAAGGUGCACUGGCCCCAAAUCUAUUUUUCCUGCCACUCAACUUUGUCAUAGGGAAGUGACCAGCAGCUGUGGUACAGAGCUAUGUGAUGCCAAGGAGCAAGCAAACUGCAACCAGCAAAGUUCAGCGUGCAGCAUCUCACCAGCUGAAGCAAGAGACACGUCUUGAGCCACUUGAUGACAA
Chinchilla lanigera (long-tailed chinchilla) is the source of this 525-nucleotide long non-coding RNA. RefSeq lists it as uncharacterized. NCBI's taxonomy places the organism in Eukaryota, Metazoa, Chordata, Mammalia, Rodentia, Chinchillidae. The transcript is spliced from 3 exons. The record is from RefSeq and is a predicted model, not a curated record.